This 253-nucleotide ribosomal RNA is filed under the name uncultured bacterium. Its description in RNAcentral is "partial 16S ribosomal RNA". It matches the Rfam family "Bacterial small subunit ribosomal RNA", at positions 524 to 776 of the family's 1533-position model. The record is from RNAcentral.
GACGGAGGAUGCAAGUGUUAUCCGGAAUCACUGGGCGUAAAGCGUCUGUAGGUGGUUUAAUAAGUCAACUGUUAAAUCUUGAGGCUCAACCUCAAAAUCGCAGUCGAAACUAUUAGGCUAGAGUAUAGUAGGGGUAAAGGGAAUUUCCAGUGGAGCGGUGAAAUGCGUAGAUAUCAAGAGGAACACCAAUAGCGAAGGCAGCUCGCUGGGACGUUACUGACACUGAGGCGCGAAAGCGUGGGGAGCAAACAGG